Molecule: ribosomal RNA, 26 nt
Filed under: uncultured fungus
Lineage: Eukaryota; Fungi
Description: partial 28S ribosomal RNA
Source: RNAcentral
UCGAUCUCAAAUCAGGUAGGACUACC